CACACACACACACAAGCUCAUCCUUAAACCCCAGUGAGAAACAGAAAUCUGAGAUUGUUGGGAAGGUCAGGGCGGAGAAGCCGCUAUCGUGUGGAUUAAUACCUCCCUAUUGCUGGUCAGUAAUUGCAGAGAAUGCAGAGCAAUACCACACAAAGGCCUGGCGCAUACCAGCCUAACCAGGGUAUGAUUGUGCACGGUGCACAAUGGCACUCUGACAAAGGGAUAGGGGUACAGGCUUCUUCACCGCCCCUCUGAGAGGAGUGUACGAGUUCAGCCUCUCUGCUCUUAGCCCCG
This is a long non-coding RNA of Alosa alosa (allis shad), 294 nucleotides long. RefSeq lists it as uncharacterized. NCBI's taxonomy places the organism in Eukaryota, Metazoa, Chordata, Actinopteri, Clupeiformes, Clupeidae. The record is from RefSeq and is a predicted model, not a curated record. The transcript is spliced from 3 exons.